This 279-nucleotide ribosomal RNA is filed under the name uncultured bacterium. RNAcentral describes it as "partial 16S ribosomal RNA". It matches the Rfam family "Bacterial small subunit ribosomal RNA", at positions 506 to 784 of the family's 1533-position model. The record is from RNAcentral.
UGCCAGCAGCCGCGGUAAUACGAAGGGCCCAAGCGUUACUCGGAAUCACUGGGCUUAAAGCGUACGCAGGCGGAUAUGCAGGCAUCGUGUGAAAUCCCUCCGCUCAACGGAGGAACUGCACGGUGAACCGCAUGUCUUGAGACGAGUAGGGGCAAUCGGAACGCUAGGUGGAGUGGUGAAAUGCGUUGAUAUCUAGCGGAACGCCAAAGGAGAAAUCAGAUUGCUGGGCUCGUUCUGACGCUGAGGUACGAAAGCGUGGGGAGCGAACGGGAUUAGAUA